UCCUACGGGACGCAGCAGUGAGGAAUAUUGGUCAAUGGUCGGGAGACUGAACCAGCCAAGCCGCGUGAGGGAUGAAGGUACAGAGUAUCGUAAACCUCUUUUGUCAGGGAACAAAGGCGGGGACGCGUCCCCGGAUGAGUGUACCUGAAGAAAAAGCAUCGGCUAACUCCGUGCCAGCAGCCGCGGUAAUACGGAGGAUGCGAGCGUUAUCCGGAUUUAUUGGGUUUAAAGGGUGCGCAGGCGGUCUGUUAAGUCAGCGGUCAAAGCCCGGGGCUCAACCCCGACAAGCCGUUGAAACUGGCUUG
RNAcentral lists this ribosomal RNA (305 nucleotides) under uncultured bacterium. RNAcentral's name for it is "bacterial SSU rRNA". It matches the Rfam family "Bacterial small subunit ribosomal RNA", at positions 337 to 640 of the family's 1533-position model. The record is from RNAcentral.